Molecule: ribosomal RNA, 253 nt
Filed under: uncultured bacterium
Lineage: Bacteria
Description: partial 16S ribosomal RNA
Rfam family: Bacterial small subunit ribosomal RNA
Source: RNAcentral
UACGUAGGUGGCAAGCGUUGUCCGGAUUUACUGGGUGUAAAGGGCGUGUAGCCGGGCUGACAAGUCAGAUGUGAAAUUCCGGGGCUCAACCCCGGACCUGCAUUUGAAACUGUUGGUCUUGAGUAUCGGAGAGGCAGGCGGAAUUCCUAGUGUAGCGGUGAAAUGCGUAGAUAUUAGGAGGAACACCAGUGGCGAAGGCGACUUUCUGGACCGUAACUGACGUUGAGGCACGAAAGUGUGGGGAGCAAACAGG